Molecule: long non-coding RNA, 2098 nt
Filed under: Lathyrus oleraceus (garden pea)
Lineage: Eukaryota; Viridiplantae; Streptophyta; Magnoliopsida; Fabales; Fabaceae
Description: Pisum sativum (pea) long non-coding RNA (PSAT_LNC030488)
Source: RNAcentral
AAGAGGGAGUAGAAGCGUGAAAAAUUAUUCUCACUGAUACCAUGUUAACAUGUGUUUCAUUAAGCAUAUGUGAAUACAAAAAACUGAUAAGAAAAGAAGAAGAAUGAGAAUCUUGUAUUAUUUUUCAUUGAGAUUAAUGGCAUACCAAUGAGCCAUUUAUACAGCAAUUAGAGUAACGGUCAAGAGGACAAAGAGGAAUGGGCCAGAAAACAUAAUGGGCCAAAAAUAAAAAAGGAAAGGAAAAUAAGUUAUGGGAUUUUAACAAAACAAGAUUUAACAUUAAAAAUUCUAAGAGUUCAAUGUAUUUUUUUACUUUAAAACAAUAUCAUCUCAAACUCUUAAAAUUUACAACAGGUAAGACUUCAUUUCACAACAAAGCAAUGUCAUAGGGAGUGUGACAUAGGUUUUAGAAGAGCUAGACCACCAAUAACUUCAACUUAACAUUGAUAUUAAUAUAUCCAAGACUUUGGCAUUUAGCAAUAUCUCAUUAAAGAGAAUCAAUGAUCAAAACAUGUUCAUUGUUAUCACUAUAACAAUGUACAUUAAUAUUGACACUAGAUAAAAAGAAAACUAACAAAAAAUCAUCUUUGAAAAAGAAAAUAUCAAACUAAUUCUACUGAAUUUCAGAGUUUUUCAUCAAUCAGCUCAAUAAUAUGGCUGAACUGACGAAUUUCCCUUGGACAUCUUUUGUGGAUUUAAUUGUUCCAGAUCCUCCUUAAAUAUCCAACGAUAACCACAACUUUUUCCCUCCAAGUGCAAACCAAAGGGCUGCCUAACCAUAGCACUCAAUUCAAUACCACUAAUAUCAUCCCAUCCAUCUGUUGCACGACUUAUCAAAUCAAUAAAUUUCUCCCUACUGAAAAAAAUUAGCAACAGGUGAUCUAAAUCAACUGUGACCAGAUCUUUUUCAAUAUCUAUGGGAAUAAUUGAAUAGACCCCACNGGUGGAGUGGAUGGCGGUGAUUCUUCGUCGGAGGCCAUGUGAUUAGGUCAAGAACAGAAAAAGGGAAAAUUGCAGAGAGAAGGAGGAUAAAGGAUAGAGAAGAAAGGGGAGAAGAAGGAAGAAACGAGUGGAGGAGAAGAGGAAAGGAUAAGGUAGAACACGUGUAGGUUAGGAAGAGGGAGUAGAAGCGUGAAAAAUUAUUCUCACUGAUACCAUGUUAACAUGUGUUUCAUUAAGCAUAUGUGAAUACAAAAAACUGAUAAGAAAAGAAGAAGAAUGAGAAUCUUGUAUUAUUUUUCAUUGAGAUUAAUGGCAUACCAAUGAGCCAUUUAUACAGCAAUUAGAGUAACGGUCAAGAGGACAAAGAGGAAUGGGCCAGAAAACAUAAUGGGCCAAAAAUAAAAAAGGAAAGGAAAAUAAGUUAUGGGAUUUUAACAAAACAAGAUUUAACAUUAAAAAUUCUAAGAGUUCAAUGUAUUUUUUUACUUUAAAACAAUAUCAUCUCAAACUCUUAAAAUUUACAACAGGUAAGACUUCAUUUCACAACAAAGCAAUGUCAUAGGGAGUGUGACAUAGGUUUUAGAAGAGCUAGACCACCAAUAACUUCAACUUAACAUUGAUAUUAAUAUAUCCAAGACUUUGGCAUUUAGCAAUAUCUCAUUAAAGAGAAUCAAUGAUCAAAACAUGUUCAUUGUUAUCACUAUAACAAUGUACAUUAAUAUUGACACUAGAUAAAAAGAAAACUAACAAAAAAUCAUCUUUGAAAAAGAAAAUAUCAAACUAAUUCUACUGAAUUUCAGAGUUUUUCAUCAAUCAGCUCAAUAAUAUGGCUGAACUGACGAAUUUCCCUUGGACAUCUUUUGUGGAUUUAAUUGUUCCAGAUCCUCCUUAAAUAUCCAACGAUAACCACAACUUUUUCCCUCCAAGUGCAAACCAAAGGGCUGCCUAACCAUAGCACUCAAUUCAAUACCACUAAUAUCAUCCCAUCCAUCUGUUGCACGACUUAUCAAAUCAAUAAAUUUCUCCCUACUGAAAAAAAUUAGCAACAGGUGAUCUAAAUCAACUGUGACCAGAUCUUUUUCAAUAUCUAUGGGAAUAAUUGAAUAGACCCCACCCCGUGUACAUUGAAAACCAAACGCAAUAUAAGGUGACAGUU